Podarcis raffonei (Aeolian wall lizard) is the source of this 822-nucleotide long non-coding RNA. RefSeq lists it as uncharacterized. The record is from RefSeq and is a predicted model, not a curated record. The transcript has 3 exons. Lineage: Eukaryota; Metazoa; Chordata; Lepidosauria; Squamata; Lacertidae.
GUCCGGGCCCAAGGUUCCCAUAUGCCCAGGGCCGGAUUUAGGUUUGAUGAGGCCCUAAGCUCCUGAAGGUCAUGGGGCCCUUGAUAUGUCCAGCUGUCCUUUGUCAACAACAAAUGGUUGCUGUUUUUUGUGUUGAAUAUAAGCUAUAUGGUCAUUGAUGGACCUCAUAGGAAUUAAAGAACCUUUUAAUGAGGGUGAAAGAGGAGAGCGCAAAAUAUGGUCUGAAGCUCAACAUCAAAAAAACGAAGAUCAUGGCCACUGGUCCCAUCACCUCCUGGCAAAUAGAAGGGGAAGAAAUGGAGGCAUUGAAAGAUUUUACUUUCUUGGGCUCCAUGAUCACGGCAGAUGGUGACAGCAGUCACGAAAUUAAAAGACGCCUGCUUCUUGGGAGAAAAGCAAUGACAAACCUAGACAGCAUCUUAAAAAGCAGAGACAUCACCUUGCCAACAAAGGUCCGUAUAGUGAAAGCUCUGGUUUUCCCAGUAGUGAUAGCUGGACCAUAAAGAAGGCUGAUCGCCGAAGAAUGGAUGCUUUUGAAUUCUGGUGCUGGAGGAGACUCUUGAGAGUCCCAUGGACUGCAAGAAGAUCCAACCUCUCCAUUCUGAAGGAAAUCAGCCCUGAGUGCUCACUGGAAGGACAGAUCCUGAAGCUGAGGCUCCAAGACUUUGGCCACCUUAUGAGAAGAGAAGACUCCCUGGAAAAGACCCUGAUGUUGGGAAAGAUUGAGGGCACAAGGAGAAGGGGACAACAGAGGACGAGAUGGUGGGACAGUGUUCUCGAAGCUACAAACAUAAGUCUGACCAAACUGCAGGAGGCAGUGGA